CGUCGGCCAAUGUCUUAAAUAAGUAGGUACUGCGGAGUAAUGAGUAAAAUUCGGUUGAUAAACCUUAUUAAAAUAUUUAAGGCUCUCGGCUGUGGAGUGUACAGAUAAACUCUACUUAACCAGUAAUUGGCAAGUUGACAAGACUCAAAAUGACAGCAAAGUAGUGCGAUACAUAUACAAGACACUAAGACAGAUGUUACGGUAUCGCGGUGAUGUCGGAGAAACGAUAACAAGGUGAUUGGCCAAACGAUUUUAUGUGGAAUAGAGAAAGACGAGCUCAAGGUUUUUAAUUCCUACUACUUUAAUAUAUUGUUAACAGAGUCGAGUAUAAUUAUACCAGCUCUCGAUUAGCAGCUAUUGAAGUGAAAAAUGGCUUAAACAUUUAACAGGUUAAAGAACGACAGGAGUUCAAAAAGCGUACUAAAUUUCAGUUCUCUGGUAUCAAUAAAUAAGUUAUAUUUGAAAUCAUCCCAUCAUCGUAUGGAUGAGUAUAAUAUAUAUAUAUAUAUAUAUAUAUAUAUAUAUACGAACACGCAUUUAAUAUACACGGGUACAAUACAACUAAAUUAGACAAUAUUGUUGUUAACGCAGUUUGGAUUGAUGAAGUCAACCUGUCAAAAGACAAGGCAAUAUAGAAACGCGUUCUAGAAACAAUAGAUUUAAUAUUAUAUAUUAUAAAUAAUAUAAUAUAAUAUACACACACAGUACGUUUUAAAAAAUAAAAAUACGAUUCGCACUGUUUAAAAUCUCGUAUAUUAUAAUACGAAAUGUACACUAUACGACGCAGCAUCAGUGCCAGCGUGUGUACCACCACGAUAUUAGCGGUAAUGAAUAAAUAAUGGAGAUUGUUAUUUGGAGGUAUUAGUCAAUUGGUAUAUUCUAUAAUAGUAUUAUACAGUAUAUAGAGAGGCAGUAGCGUGCGCUUGUGGACACACACAACUCGUUUCGAUACGGUCGCUCGGCUAAUUUUAAACGGAUGUACAAACACAGUGCAUACCGUUCGCCGCCGCUGCCAUCCCGCCACUACCGUCUGCCACUGUUCUAAACUGUACACGGGUACACAUACACAUACGAGACAAACACGCAAUAUGAACCCGUUGUUGUAAGCGUGGAAAAUAUGAAAUUAACCACUAUAUUAUAAUACACCUCCGCUGCCGUUUCAUUUCGGAAAUUAAAAGUUGCAGGUUAAAUUAACAUUAGCAACAAAAUUCACGAAAAGUUUAUUUUUUAGGCGGGUAUACGCCAUACAGGCGACGAUAUUUUGGGGUCAAACAAAAUAACACAAUAUUCUGCUGAGUCUAAUAUUUUCGGAAAUGUCGUAAUAACGUUUAAUAAAAACUUUUAAUCGAUGGAUAUAAUAAU
Molecule: long non-coding RNA, 1362 nt
Organism: Aphis gossypii (cotton aphid)
Lineage: Eukaryota; Metazoa; Arthropoda; Insecta; Hemiptera; Aphididae
Exons: 3
Source: RefSeq, a predicted model, not a curated record